UAAAGAACAAGUCCUGCAAGGAGUGAUGAGGGAGCUGUGGGUGCGUAACCUGGAGAAAAGGAGGCUUGGGGGGCCCUUAUCAACCUCUACAACUACCUGACAGUAGCCAGGUGGGGCUCAGCCUCUUGUCCCAGACACCAUCUUAGUGAAGUGACAAUGAACAGUGUAAGGACAUUGCUGCAGGUAUCAGAAGUACCCAGCUGAAAAAAUUCCUGAAUGGGGCACCAGAAUAAUGGAUAAUGUUUACACAAUGGAUGUACUAAGGAUGUUCUUCCUAUAAUGGCAACUUUCAAGCAAAAGGAGUAUAUCAAAAUGUCAAAAAUUUUGGAGACUACAGCUCUAAGGAAUAAGAUUUCAACAACUGUCUUGGUUAUUUAAGGACAUUUUUCAUAAGUUUGCACCGAAACCACGUGUCACACUUCUUUCUAAGAUGACACCCCCUUCAGAGAAGGCAAGGAGAUUACUCAGAGGCAGGUCCUGACCAGUAUAACUGUGUACAAGCAAGAAAAGGGGAUGGAGGGAGAGUCAUCUGGCUGCUUUUUGGAUGGGAAAGCAUCAUUUUGGUAGCCUUAGAAACAAAAACCAUAAGCACAGCUGGCAACCACCUGGCCCCAGGCUAUGCCUUGCCCUUCUCAGAGCACAGCAGGACAGGGUGUGGGCAGUGCUGAGCAGAGAUCCCACAGGAGAACCUGAGCUCUGCAGGAAGUGGUGUCUGACUCAACAGCGAGGCAGCAGAGCUUAGGGCACUGCACUAUUUCAGGGACUAGGGCUUGAAUGUGACUUCACACACACAGCCCAAACUAGAGUCAUCAUCAAAGACUUUGUGGUUGCUCUUGGGAAAAGGCCUAUUCCCAGUGACUUGGUGACAGGCAAAGAGCUACUGUUUGUACUUCCAGAGCUUAGUCACUUUGGAAGUUGAAGCAAGAAGCAAGCAUUCUUCAAUUCCUGUCCUGAUAAACCAAGUGAUGCUGUUCUGAAUGGUUUCUCAGCACUGCCUCGGGGAACACCAUUCCAGUAGAGAUAAAGCUUGUGUGCAUAUCAUUUCUUCAGUGACCCCUUUGAAUAAUAAGUGCUAUUUAAAUGUAA
Pseudopipra pipra is the source of this 1086-nucleotide long non-coding RNA. RefSeq lists it as uncharacterized. NCBI's taxonomy places the organism in Eukaryota, Metazoa, Chordata, Aves, Passeriformes, Pipridae. The record is from RefSeq and is a predicted model, not a curated record. The transcript has 2 exons.